This 614-nucleotide small RNA is filed under the name Pongo abelii (Sumatran orangutan). Its description in RNAcentral is "processed transcript". Lineage: Eukaryota; Metazoa; Chordata; Mammalia; Primates; Hominidae. The record is from RNAcentral.
AGUGGCGGCGGCGGCGGGUCCGGAGGUGGCGGCAGGUGGCCCCGCGCGCGGCGGCCGGCCCGGCCGGGGGCGGGCGGGAAGGUGGCGCCUCGGGCGGGGGCCGGUCCCUGCACCAGGUGACCUGUUCCGGCCCGGAUCCGGGCGGCCUCGCCAUGCAGCGGCGCGGCGCGGGGCUCGGGUGGCCGCGGCAGCAGCAGCAGCAACCCCCGCCGCUCGCGGUCGGCCCCCGGGCCGCAGCCAUGGUCCCCCCGAGUGGUGGCGUUCCCCGGGGCCUCGGCGGCCGCCCUGCCUGCGCGCUGCUCCUGCUCUGCUACCUGAUGUGGUUGCCCUGCUUGGCUUUCCUUAUGCCUCCAGUGGAGAAAACACAGGCAUUGUCAAGAAGUUCCCGAGGUUUCGGAACCGAGAGCUGGAGGCCACUCGACGCCAGAGGAUGGAUUACCCAGUGUUUACUGUUUCAUUGUGGCUGUAUUUACUCCAUUAUUGCAAGGCCAACCUCUGUGGGAUUCUGUACUUUGUUGACUCUAAUGAGAUGUACGGCACACCUUCUGUAUUUCUUACGGAAGAGGGCUAUUUGCAUAUUCAGAUGCAUCUUGUCAAAGGGGAAGACCUUGCUG